This 1094-nucleotide long non-coding RNA is filed under the name Ananas comosus (pineapple). Its description in RNAcentral is "long non-coding RNA (ACOM_LNC029005)". Lineage: Eukaryota; Viridiplantae; Streptophyta; Magnoliopsida; Poales; Bromeliaceae. The record is from RNAcentral.
UGUCUUUUAUAAUACCAUGUUAAAUAUAUGAAACAACUAUUGUAUUUUACAUGUUUAAAUUUUUUCUAUGGCUAAAUUACAUAAAAUCCUCCGUCAAAACCUGAUUUUUCACUUUUCUCCCCUAUUAUUUAAAAACCUACACUUUGCCCCCUUGUAAAAUGAAAAGUAUUCACAAGGGGGGUACGGUGUGUAAAAUGACUAUUUUGCCUCUCACCAUUUUCGUCUCCUUCCUUAUCUUCCUCAAUAGCAGCCUCGAUCGGCUGCGGUUUACGUCUCAAUUGGCUGCGGUUUCCCUCCAUUUUCUUCUCCACCUGCUCCCCUCUCCUCCUGCACCCUCGCCGGCCCUCGAUUUCGGCAAUAAUAGAGUAGAAAUCGAGGUAGGGGUGGAUGGAGAGGUGGGUAACGGCAACGAGGGCGAAGGCAAGGCGGCGGAGGAGGGCGGAGGGGUGUUUGUGGGCGUAGACAGGGAUGUGGGUGAGGGCGAGGCAGUGGAGGAGGGCUAGGCGGCGAGGCGGCGAGGCAACAGAAAAAAAGGUGGAGGGUAUUUUUUAUAUAAAAAAAUAUUUUAUAACGGAACCCUAACGAAUUACUAAUGGUAGGGGGUAAAGUGCAUAUUUUUCAUUUUACAAGGGGACAAAGUGUAGAUUUUUAAAUGACAAGGGGGGAAAGAGAAAAUCGUAUUUUGACAGGGAGGUUUUCUGUAAUUUAGUCUUUUUCUAUUUAAUACUCCUCCUCACGUCUGAAUUCGAGACUUUGAAUUAAAUGGAAGGAAAUAAUUAAUAAUGCUAAAAGUCUGGGGUGACUCGAACAUAGAACUCUACUUUGAUACAAUAUUAAUAUAUGAAACAACUGUUAUCUUAAACUUACAAAGAACAACAUUUAAAUAUUUUUAUAUUUAAUAGUAUGCAAUAUUUAUAUAAUAUUAAUAAUAUUAUUUCAACUGAAUUCUAUAGUCGUAUCCUUUCAAAGUUUGAUUUGGCAUGUUUUUGGUUUGCUAUUUUGUAGUGUUUCUGAGCUUUGGAUAGGAUUGGCUUCAGUAUUAGUGACUGGUCGAUACUUCUGGAGAGUGUCGGUCUGAGUUGGAGUUGUUUCUG